AUGAAAGCAUUUCCUUUUUAAUGCUAUAAACAAAUACAGUCCUACAAUUCUUUUGAAUAUGUAUUUGUUUGUGUAAGUUUACUGAAGAACUCUUUUUUUCUGCUAUAUAUUUCUUUGUCCUAAAGAAGGCAGGUUUUUUUUCCUUGUCCAGCCAUUGUCUGGUACAGUAAUAUGACUCAGCCCCAAAAUCCUGGGAUACAGAGUAAAUAAUCUGCAAUCUACUCUUACAGCCAUUAAUUCCCAAUUAAUUCCCAAAGAGAGCUAAUUUUUUUUAAUUUUUUUUUUUCCCCUAGGAGAAAGUGAGUGUUUUCCUUUGGAAAUGUCUUCACUGGUGCUUGACAGCCUUUUCUGUUCACUUUUGAAAGAACGUAAUUAUGGAUCUGAUUAGAUCUGUCAGCGCAGACAGGAGCAGAGGAUGAGAACAGCAGGGCAGAAAUACCUUUCUUUAGCAGCAAAAGGCUCAUUGAUUCCAGGGAUCCAUCAGCCACACCAUGAUGUUAUAACAAUCAACCCAAACAAAUGCUGAAUGAUAUUUUAAAUAUCCUUUAAUUAAUGGUAUUUUACUUUUUUCCUCAAAAGGAAAAAAAAAGAUGUUUACCAGCUGGGAUCAUUCAGAUACUUUGCCUGUGGGACUGGCUUCGGUUAUAGCAGUUCAAGGAACAGAGUUUACUGGCCUGGACAAAUACUCUUGGCUUUUCCCUGCCUCCAGCUGUGAGCCCUCAGUGCACCUUGACAUGGUGGUGAUGGAUGUCCAAGGACUGUGGUCUGAAAUUCCAGGUACAGCAGUUGAAUGGGUCUCCUUAGCUCAGUGCCAUGUUUUGGGACUGAGCUGAACGGGUUGAGUUGGUUUUCUCUGAUCUCCCUUGGCUUUCAUUCCAGUGAUUUUGGCCCAUUUCUUCCUCCCCAGGCCAGCAACGACCAUAACUCAAUCAUCCUGACAUCGGUACCAGCAGUGUCUCCGGAGAGCUCUGGGCAGAGUGAAGGCCACGAAUAACAGUGGGAUAGUAACCAGCAUCGUUCCCAGUGUCCAGCUGGGAUUGCUGACUUGUAGCUUCGAAGCCAGCUGGUGAGGACAUGAGGCUUGGUAAGGAAAAAGGCCUAAAGGAACCUUUAAUUAUGCUAGAAUAUGUUGCUGAAUACCAAAACUAAUAAGCUGUUUUGCAGCAUUGAGGUCCUAUGUGAAUCGAUUAGAAAAACCCCUCUCAUUUUCUUUAGGGUCAGGAUGGAAAUGUGACUCACAGCAAAUCCCAUAUUGAAAUCCUGUUUAUUUAAUUACUUCAACUCAGCCUUGAGGCUGCAAUUGUGUGCCCAGAGAUGUGCUAAUACCCACUGUUAUUUUCAGAAUCUUCCUCUUCUAGUGCAAUGACAUUCACAUCCAUCACAACCCAAAACAAAGGCAAAACCUUAUAUGAGGUUACUUUCUGUUGUUUGCCACUGAGGACAACAAAACAGGCUUAUCAUCUACAUUUUGGGGGUUGCCUGUUUACUUGCUUUUGGAGGCAGUGAUCUAUAAAAGCUUGAGAGCUAUUGAUGCAUACAGUCACACUACAGCGAUCUUGUCAAUACAAAUUAAUUGUAUGAGGCCUGUGGAUAAAACUGCCUUUGCUAAAUAAGUAACUGAAGAAAUAAUAACCUGUCCAUUCUGCUAGAUUCCGUAAUAUACAGACUUUUUCCCAAGAAAAGUUAUAUGAGCAUAUCAAGGAAGUGUCUAUUGAUUUUCUGGUGAUGCUGGAGGAGGGAGGGUGACAAUAAAUCUGUAUAACAGAGUUGCAGAGUAGCUUCCUAACUAAGUGGUCUGUAACUUGUGGCAAACCAUUACUAAUACUAAAUCUCUAUAAAUAACCUUACCUCUUGGUUUGUUUUGAAUGUUGUUGUGUCUACGUUUACUAUCUUCAUUAAGUGCUUUAGGUUUAGCUUUUCUAGGGUGGUUUACAUAUGUACAGUUAUUUCACCAGGUUCAACAUGUGCCGCAUUUAUGUACAACCAUAAAAUUGUAAAUUUUCCAUAAUCUGCAGGGUAAAAGACACACUAGUUUUUUGAAGGCUUCAUUUAAAUAUUUAAUUCACUCACAUUUAGUUUUAUUUAACCUUUAAAAGAGUGUUUGCUGAUUUUUUCCCUUGUUCUUAGCCCUACGUUAAAUUACCACAAUCUGUAGUUUAGCUAGUAUAGGCAUCUUUUAUCGAGUGUUUUCACAGACUGCUGCUUUUUGUAGCAUUUCUUGGGCAUUCAAGAAAAAACCCAGCUAAUUCCAGGAAUCUAAGAAACUGUGGUUUUUACAAUGCUGACUGCUUCACCAUUGUGUAUCCCCCUGAUUCCCAUGUAUUCUGCAGAUCCAGAUGCCACAAGUGUCACCCAGGCUGAAGGACUGAAGUGCCCCAUGCUGUUAACCCAUGGUGUCACUUGACUUGCCCAUUGUGCUUGUACAAGAGGUCUGUACCUUGUGUGACAGGAUUGCUGGUCUCAGCACUAAAUACAUUCUGGACUCUGCAAACCAGCUGAUGGAGGUACUGGGAUGGGAGCCAUGUUUUGUAUCACCAAGAAAUAGGCUGCAGCAGAAGGGCUGAUUCUUAUUUCAGAGCACAUCAGCCUGGCAGAGGACAAAUGGAGGUAGGUGGGUACAUGGUCCUGGAGGGAAAGCUUGGUGAAAAAGCUCUGAGCCAGCCAGGGCAAUGAGGUUAACCUGAUGCCUUCCACACUGAAAGGUGGAAAUGGGUCUGAGUGACCAGGCUACCUUCCCCUCCACUGGGACACUUGGAUGCUGAGCUGGUGGGAAAGGGUAAUGGGGUGCCUGCUUGGCAUCACUGAUGCCUGGAGCAGUGGAUCAUUUUUCAGCUUUGGCAGGGAGCUGCCAGUGCUAAACUUCACUGCAGCUACAAAGGCAGGCUGACCUCUGCUCAGAGAGACUCAGCUCUGGGCCAGCAGGCAGCCAUGAAUUUGGUACCUGAAACUCUCCUUCUGCAUACAGAUAAGGCUGCUAUAAUUCACCAUAAGCUACUGAAGAACAGUUGGAUGGUAAUUGCAGGUGUUCGCAGACUCCGGAUAAGGAAAUUUUCAAAAAUGCUGAAUUGUGACCUCUGUGCAUUGCAACCCGUGGAAGCUUUAUUACUUCGUCACCUUUUCCUGCUGUGGUGACCCGUCUUUGGCUUUGUCAUGCAGAACCUGUCAGAUACCCUUCAGGGCUAAGGUGUACAGCAGAGAAGGUGUUAUAUUAUUCACACUAAUACAUGGAGUUUACAGGAUCUGGAUAUUCCUGGAUGUUUCCUGCUCUCCUGCCAUCUAUUCUGUUCCUCUGCCUAUUCUGGAUGGUUUGUAACCUUUAAGCCAAGCACUCCAGAGGUAAGCCAGAUUUGGGAAUUUUCCUUUCACACUACUGCUCAGCCUGCUUUGUGGAAUUGGAGAAUUGGGCCCACAGCUGCCAAGCAGCUCAAAGUAUCACUGCUGGAAUGCUGGCACAUCACCUCCUUCAUGGUCUAAACUACUGGAGUAAAGAAUCUGAAAUUGCUUUUAAUUAAAUGUUCAGCAGAAAUGAUAGCACAGUUAGUUAUUAGACUGGCUAACAGAGGUUAAACCACAGAAAUUCUAAAAUUAACUUUACACUGGAUAUACUUUUCAAAUGUCCUAGCUGGGCUGAAUUUCUCAGGAGAAGGCAGGGCUGCUGCAAGGCUGUUAUUUGAGAGGAUAAUGGGGUCAGUAUCAGUAGAGCUUCUCAUUUCAUCCAGCUCAUUUGCCCUUGCUGGCCCUCCACUUCAGUGGCAGAAAAGGAGUUACCAGAUACUGGAGAGAUUCUGUUGCAGCUAAUAACGUAAGCUCAUGUUUCGAUAAAAGUUUUAUUUCAAUUGUUCUCCAUUUCAACUUUGGACAAAGUAUAAGCCUCAAAAUACAGUGUCUGUAGAGAUAUAUAGAAAGAAGCUGUAGCUGUAGAACAGGCCUAUUGCCCCUGUUGAUCAGGGCAACGCUGACUCCCACAGCCAGUUUGGGUGUCAUACACAGUCCAGUUUUAUAGCCGUGACACAGACACAGCCCCUGAGGCUCAGCAGCACCCUAGCUCGUGGUGCUAAAAAGGGCUGUGCCUCCUAGAGGAGUCCAGAGCCAUCAUAAUGUACCUGCUUGUGGCUCUAGGGCAGAGAUGGGCUCCUGUCACCCCAGGCAGAACACCCCAUGGCUUUGUUGGCAUGUGACCAUGGUGCAUCCCUACACACCUAUAUACACACAUCUCUAUAUGUACACAUAUUCCAUGUAAUUUUAUGAACUUGUCAGACUUCAUAAAGAGUGGGGUGGCUGUUGGCAGUGGGAUGGGGCAGCAACAUGGAAAUAGGUCUUAAAAGAAUGGUUCAAACUAUCCACAUCAGAGGAUGUGAAAGGAGAACUUGCUGCAGGGUAGGCAGUGACCACAUCUGCCAAAUGAGCACUAUAAAAUUAUGCUGAGACUUCUUUCCCAGAAAGGCCCUGACAAGGCCCUCUCUUCUGAGGCUCCUUGUCCUCUAUUAGUCAUAAUUCUAAGAUAGUGAACCUGAACAGAGUAACUGGGAUGUGAGUCUGGAUGAACAAAUACAUCAGGAGGGUAAGCUGAGUAUAUCUGUGAUGGAAAUCACAACAUGACAGAAUGCAUACAAAAUAUGAAACGAAGAUUAUACAACCUUCCCAGUCUUCUUCCAUUAACAAUUGGCUCAGUACUUCUCCAGUAUACACACAACCAGGCCAAAAAAACCCUAAGUAACUAAUUUUUAUAGUGUGCAGCCAUCAAGACAAUGCUCAGGUAUCAAAACUCUGGUGAUGUUUUAACUGAGAAAUCCACUUCAUAAAUCAUAUUUGGCAAUUAGAGAAAACCACAAUGUGACAUCUUAGCUUUUUUGUUGUUUUCGUUAUAUAUUUUUAUAAUGUUGUUACUCAGCUGUUACUUUUUUAUGUGGACCUUUUUUAGCAUUUUAGAAUUUGUUCAAAGUCUCCUGCCUCUAAAGCAUCAAUUAAGCAGAACAGCCAAGUACAGAACUGAUGUAAAAAUAGAUAGGCCUGAAAUAUCAGUGACUGCAGCCUACAAUGGGCAAAAGUACCAUGUACUUUAGUCAGUUACUAGGCCAUAUUUCAAAAAUUCAGUGAAAUGAAUAAUAUAAAGUUACUCUGACCUUGCAAAAUAAAUAGCAAUACCCUGAAGACACACUAAAAACAUCUAAGGAAGUAGAACUGUUUUCUCUCUUUUAAACAACAUUUCAUUCAAUGGAAAAGAAGCCAAGGAAUUCAUUUUUUCAGAUGAUUUAAGAUGUAGUAUGCUGAUAGUUGUCUUCCAAUAGCAACAAUUAAAAUAGCUUGCUUUUAUAACCAGACUGUAGAUGUUAUUUUCACUAUUAGUCCAUGCUUCUUUAAACAGCAUUAUUUGCUAAAACCCAGCGGAUUCUUUUGAACACAAAAGCAUUAGUUUUUCAGGAUUUGUGUGGAGAUAUUUUGUCUCAUUUUUUCCCAAGCCUACUACCAAGAUGAUAAGUCCAUACAAGAACAUUCAGCUCAGAACUCAAUACCUACAUAUCCAGAGUGUUUUAAGGAAAGUGGGUCUAACAAGCUGCAACAUCUUAGGUCUUCAGUCACGGCUUCCCUAAAAGUCAGAAAUGUGCUCAGGUAUCAUUUUUUCAGUUGGUUGAUCUUUUUUUUAAAAAGUGCUAUU
Molecule: long non-coding RNA, 5656 nt
Organism: Apus apus (common swift)
Lineage: Eukaryota; Metazoa; Chordata; Aves; Apodiformes; Apodidae
Exons: 3
Source: RefSeq, a predicted model, not a curated record